This 887-nucleotide ribosomal RNA is filed under the name Cystobasidium pinicola. RNAcentral describes it as "SSU rRNA". It matches the Rfam family "Eukaryotic small subunit ribosomal RNA", at positions 500 to 1414 of the family's 1831-position model. Lineage: Eukaryota; Fungi; Basidiomycota; Cystobasidiomycetes; Cystobasidiales; Cystobasidiaceae. The record is from RNAcentral.
GUCCUAUAAUUGGAAUGAGUACAAUUUAAAUCCCUUAACGAGGAUCAAUUGGAGGGCAAGUCUGGUGCCAGCAGCCGCGGUAAUUCCAGCUCCAAUAGCGUAUAUUAAUGUUGUUGCCGUUAAAAAGCUCGUAGUCGAACUUCGGCCUUUGCCACCCGGUCCGCCUAUUUGGGUGUGUACUGGAGUGGUGGAGGCUUACCUCGUGGUGAACGGCCAUGUCCUUUACUGGGUGUGGUCGGGAACCAUGACUUUUACUGUGAAAAAAUUAGAGUGUUCAAAGCAGGCUUACGCCCGAAUACAUUAGCAUGGAAUAAUAAAAUAGGACGUGCGGUCCUAUUUUGUUGGUUUCUAGGAUCGCCGUAAUGAUUAAUAGGGAUAGUUGGGGGCAUUCGUAUUCAAUUGUCAGAGGUGAAAUUCUUGGAUUUAUUGAAGACGAACUACUGCGAAAGCAUUUGCCAAGGAUGUUUUCAUUGAUCAAGAACGAAGGUUAGGGGAUCGAAAACGAUCAGAUACCGUUGUAGUCUUAACAGUAAACGAUGCCGACUAGGGAUCGGAUGAGGUUUUUAAUGACUCAUUCGGCACCUGAAGAGAAAUCUUUAAGUCAGGUUCGGGGGGGAGUAUGGUCGCAAGGCUGAAACUUAAAGGAAUUGACGGAAGGGCACCACCAGGUGUGGAGCCUGCGGCUUAAUUUGACUCAACACGGGGAAACUCACCAGGUCCAGACACGACAAGGAUUGACAGAUUGAUAGCUCUUUCUUGAUUUCGUGGUUGGUGGUGCAUGGCCGUUCUUAGUUGGUGGAGUGAUUUGUCUGGUUAAUUCCGAUAACGAACGAGACCUUAACCUGCUAAAUAGCCCGGCCGACUUUGGUUGGUCGCUGGCUUCUUAG